This 117-nucleotide small nuclear RNA is filed under the name Myotis brandtii (Brandt's bat). Its description in RNAcentral is "U2 spliceosomal RNA". It matches the Rfam family "U2 spliceosomal RNA". From Rfam's summary of the family: U2 is a small nuclear RNA (snRNA) component of the spliceosome (involved in pre-mRNA splicing). The record is from Rfam by way of RNAcentral. Lineage: Eukaryota; Metazoa; Chordata; Mammalia; Chiroptera; Vespertilionidae.
AUCGCUUCUCGGUCUUUUGGCUAAGAUCAAGUGUAGUAUCUCUUUUCAUCAGUUUAAUAUCUGAUAUGUCCUCUAUCCAAGGACAUUAUAUUAAACUAGAGGCCUGAUGCACGAAAU